This is a non-coding RNA of Cricetulus griseus (Chinese hamster), 521 nucleotides long. The record is from RefSeq and is a predicted model, not a curated record. NCBI's taxonomy places the organism in Eukaryota, Metazoa, Chordata, Mammalia, Rodentia, Cricetidae.
UUGCCGUUCGAAUGCAAGGGUUGCGCCGUGGGCUGCCAUUUUCAGAAGGUCUGUAAAGGCUCCUCGUGUCGCCGGUGCAUAACCAUGGGCAGGGCAGGGCGUAGUGAUGGUGUCUGUGGCUCAAGGCUGUAAUCCCAGCACUUCCAAGACCCCGAGGAUAAAUCAGAAUCAUCCUGGGCUCCAUAGCAAAUCUGAGGUCAAAUGUGGACUACAGGAGACCUGUCUGGGAAAAAAAAGCCCUGUUCAUAUUUGCCCCACUGCAACUAACCCUAUUGUUUACCAUUGUUUUGUUGUUGUUGCUGUUUUCCAGUGCUAAGGAUACAAACUGAUUUUGUAUUCUUCCAAUCCCUAACCUUUGAAGAAUAAAAUCAAAUAUCUAUGUAAGUCUUGACUGAUGCAUUGUUUUUAACAUGCUAAUUAAAGACCACAUGAGGUCACACCUUUUAUCGCUGCAUUCCAGCACAGCCAGAACUAGACUUUGUCUCUAAAAACCAAAUAAAAAUAAAACAAGUAUGCUAAAA